Long non-coding RNA from Lolium perenne, 1000 nucleotides. RefSeq lists it as uncharacterized. The record is from RefSeq and is a predicted model, not a curated record. Lineage: Eukaryota; Viridiplantae; Streptophyta; Magnoliopsida; Poales; Poaceae.
CAUUUCCUUCACUCUCCACUCCCUCACACUCUUCUCCUCCACCUCCCCACGAGCUUCUGCUCCUCCCAAGCACUAUGGCUGGCCAUGGCCAUGGGAAGCCACCAAGAUGAAGCUCUCCCCCUCCCUCAAACUUCCCCUCACCAUGAGAGCUUCCCUCUCACUCUCUUCUCCCCUAAUCUUUGAUGAAUCCAGCCCUAUUUCUCCUUUCUCCUCUCACAAGAUUGGAUCUUGAUGCAGGUGCAUGUUGGUCCAAGCAUGGAGAAGGUUGAGCAAUCCUCAGAUCUGAAGCUCUUGACCAAAAUCCAAAUCGAGUGAUUCAAAGUUCCACAUAUAGGUAUUGAAAAGAUCUACAACUUGGCGUUGGUCUCAUCCUCAAAUUAGUUACGGAUUUUGCAUGAUCAAUAUCUGGUCAGAUCUGACUUUGUCGAAUUAACCCAGGAGCUUGGAGACGAAUUUUUGAAUGGAACCAACUGGGGGAUAUUUGGUUUAUACCAUGGUGGUAACCGAGAGAGGCAAUUGCUAUGUUGUGAUACUCUCAUACCUUUACUAGAUGCGAACAAUUCCGGAGAAGAAGAAGAGGUGGAAUCGGACGAGGAUUUUAUUUAUGUUGUUGGGAUUCUUAUAUUGAUGGAGUUGAAGAAGUGCAGGGACAAAUAAGCCAAGGCAAGCCAUCUUUUGAUCUCUGACUUGGUGUCUAGUUGGAUGUCAUUUGUUGAUGUCCAAAGCACCUUAUUUCUAUGUGUGUUAUUCUCUCUAUUUAUGUCAUCUAUGUGUGAUUGCAAGUGGGGUACUCCCUAGUGGUGACACUCCCCUAUUGUCUUUGUGAUUAUGGGAUACAUGGUAUUAUGGCCGUGCUAUUCCACUUGGUCAUCUUGUAUGCUCAACUUGAGCAUCUUCCCUCUCAAGAUAGUAACUUACACCACACCCACCACUUUUGUAAUUUAGAGGUAUCAAUGUCAUGAUCUUGGUAUAUUCUCAACUUGAGAGGAGUAUGCCGUGU